AUAAAAUAAUUAUGUUUUUGGAAAUUUAUUAUAAAUUUAUUUUACAUAUAAAUUUUAGUAUGUAAUUUUAAUUAUUUAAAUAAUAAUUAAUUUAAUUUAGUAGUAAUUAAUAUUAAAAAUUUAAGAAAUUAAGAUUUAGUAAUAUAAAAAUUGAUAACUAAUUUUGUGCCAGCAGUUGCGGUUAAACAAAAGUUAAAUUAAAUUGUUUUAGUUUAUAAUAAAUAAUUAAAUUAUUAAAUUAAAUAUUAAAUUAUUAAGUGAAAUUUUAAUUUAAUUAAAUUUUAUUUAAAAAUUAUGAUUUAAUAAAUUUUAAUAUAAACUAGGAUUAGAUACCCUAUUAUUAAAAAUUUAAUUUAUAAUACUAAAAUAGUAAAUAAUAAUUUAUUGAAACUUAAAUAAUAUGGCGGUAUUUUAGUUCAUUUAGAGGAAUCUGUCUAAUAAUUGAUAAUCCACGAAUAAAUUUACUUAAUUUAUAAUUUUGUAUAUCAUUGUUAAAAAAAUAUUUUUUAGGAAAAAUAAUAUUUAAAAAUUAAAAUUAAAAAUUAAAUCAGAUCAAGAUGCAGAAUAUAAUUAAGAAUAUGAUGGAUUACAUUAAAUAUAUUUUAAUGGAUAAUUUUAUUGUAAUAAAAAUUUGAAGGUGGAUUUAAAUGUAAUUUUAAUUAGUUUAUUAAAAUGAUUAAAAAUUAAAAUAUGUACAUAUUGCCCGUCACUUUCAUUUAAAAAUUGAAAUAAGUCGUAACAAAGUAGAGGUACUGGAAAGUGUUUCUAGAAAGA
This 774-nucleotide non-coding RNA is filed under the name Junonia terea. The record is from RNAcentral. Lineage: Eukaryota; Metazoa; Arthropoda; Insecta; Lepidoptera; Nymphalidae.